GACGAACGCUGGCGGCGUGCUUAACACAUGCAAGUCGAACGGAAAGGCCCUGCUUUUGUGGGGUGCUCGAGUGGCGAACGGGUGAGUAACACGUGAGUAACCUGCCCUUGACUUUGGGAUAACUUCAGGAAACUGGGGCUAAUACCGGAUAGGAGCUCCUGCUGCAUGGUGGGGGUUGGAAAGUUUCGGCGGGUGGGGAUGGACUCGCGGCUUAUCAGCUUGUUGGUGGGGUAGUGGCUUACCAAGGCUUUGACGGGUAGCCGGCCUGAGAGGGUGACCGGCCACAAUGGGACUGAGAGACGGCCCAGACUCCUACGGGGGGGAGCAGUGGGGAAUAUUGCAGAAUGGGCGGAAGACUGAUGCAGCAACGCCGCGUGCGGGAUGACGGCCUUCGGGUUGUAAACCGCUUUCGCCGGUGACGAAGCGUGAGUGACGGUAAUGGGUAAAGAAGCACCGGCUAACUACGUG
This 468-nucleotide ribosomal RNA is filed under the name uncultured bacterium. RNAcentral's name for it is "partial 16S ribosomal RNA". It matches the Rfam family "Bacterial small subunit ribosomal RNA", at positions 28 to 507 of the family's 1533-position model. The record is from RNAcentral.